This 253-nucleotide ribosomal RNA is filed under the name uncultured bacterium. Its description in RNAcentral is "partial 16S ribosomal RNA". It matches the Rfam family "Bacterial small subunit ribosomal RNA", at positions 524 to 776 of the family's 1533-position model. The record is from RNAcentral.
UACGAAGGGGGCUAGCGUUGUUCGGAAUCACUGGGCGUAAAGCGCUCGUAGGCGGAUGGUUAAGUCAGGUGUGAAAUCCCGAGGCUCAACCUCGGAACUGCCUUUGAUACUGGCGAUCUAGAGUCCGGGAGAGGUGAGUGGAACUCCUAGUGUAGAGGUGAAAUUCGUAGAUAUUAGGAAGAACACCAGUGGCGAAGGCGGCUCACUGGCCCGGUACUGACGCUGAUGUGCGAAAGCGUGGGGAGCAAACAGG